CACCUGCCCCUACUUCACAGAAGUGCUGGGGUCCACCAACCAGAGACCACAAGAGACGCACCAGACACCAGACAGAACAGGCUCCCUGGACUGAGCUCCUUCACAGAGCCCUUCUGCACCCAUGGGGACCAUAGCCCAGAUCUCUGGAAACCUAACACCAUUCUGGUGACCCUGGACCUGCAGCAGUGCCUCACAUCACCAAAUACGUUCAGGUCCUGAUCUUAGGAUCCCGGGAUCAAGCCCCAC
Molecule: non-coding RNA, 246 nt
Organism: Leptonychotes weddellii (Weddell seal)
Lineage: Eukaryota; Metazoa; Chordata; Mammalia; Carnivora; Phocidae
Source: RefSeq, a predicted model, not a curated record